UUGUAGGUAUCCUGCUUGUCUAAGGUGUUCUGCUCAGCAUUCCAUCUCCUGCUGCUGUCCCUUCCAUCACAGUCCAGAGGGGCAGUGGGCUUGGCCAGAGCUCUGGCGAACUUGGGAUCUGAUGCUGUGUGGGUCGGUGUUGGCCCUGGGCUCUCGGACCAGCCAGCAGCAGGGCAUGCGGACUCAUGCAGACUUUGGCUCCGCAUAGAAGCUUUCCAAUAGCCACCUCCAGCAAAAGGCCAGGCUGCCUCAGGGCUCUUGUGGCUGUUUCCAGGGACACGGGCUCCAAGCUGACCUGAGGACUCACUGACUACAGGUCCGUGUUUCUCCCCACCCCCAACUGCCCAGGUCAUUCCCUAAGUGGUUCUCAGGGGCUGGCUCUGUCUCCCUCUUCUGAUCUGCUCUGCCCUGGGUGUCCACCAAGUGCAAGAGUGGAAACCACCUCAGGAGCACGCUGGGGUGGCCCUGCAAAGGGCCACCAGGUCAGCUCCCUGGAACUGAAGGGCACCCUGUUUCAUUAGCUAAGGAGGUUUUGACUGUCUGCUGCCCCCCCUCCUCCCCGAAAAGGCCACCCUGUUACCGUGAGGGGAGGGAGGUAGCUUGCCACUCGGGUGUUGAUCCAGAUUUGGCAUCUGUCUCUGGCAGCCAGGACGUCGCAAAACCAUCCUUGCCUUAGAGCCCAUUUCAACUUCCUGGCACUCCCAGGCCAAGGCUCCUGCUCCGGCUCAUUGGAGCUCAGCGACCUCUCCCUCUCUGUCUGCCCUGCUGGCACUGAGAGCCCAGCAUGAACUUGUGAGGGUCAUCUUUCCACUUCGUCAUUCAUGGAAGCUAUUAAACUGGAAACAAAGUGACAUUAGUGCUGUAUUAAUGCAAGUAGCAGCCACUUGAGUGGACUCACAUUGGACUCUGUGCCAAAUUCAUGGGCGGGGGCGGGGGGCAGUGUACGCGGUGGCAGAGUGGACUGAACAGGGGUGAGAGUGCUGCUGUGGGCGCCUUUCGAGAGCAUUGCUGUUGGGUAUUUACCUUGAAAACCACAUCUCAAUCCUGCAUACGGGCGCCGCGACUCCGAAACCAAAGUUACAAGGGGUGGGGGCGCCCCCCGUCAGGCCUUCCAGCUCAACAAAGCCUCUCCCCGCUGCUCGCUGGUCCUACCAGACAUCCCCGCCUCGGGCCUCUGCCUUUCCCAGGGAUCCUUCUCACCCCAGUGAGACAGAGCCAAGUCCGUGCAGCCUGCGCUUCGCCCCCAGCUGCGCAUCCGGAGCAGGCCGCCCCGACGUUGGCCUGUGCUGCAGAGCCCCAGGGGAGAGGCCCCACUGGGCCAGCCACUGCUUCAGGUUCACCCAGGCUGCAGGAGGGACUCUGUCCCUCCCUCUGCCCCUCCUGCGACAUCGUAGUUGCCUCUCCUGGAAGAGCCCACAGCCUUCUCCGACUCCCCACGGGCUCCCCCUCCUCCCACGGCCGUGGCCACUUGGGGGUACAGUACCUUCUUCUGAGGAUAAACUUUCUGUUCAUGUUUUUUUUAAGUGCCUAAGCAAGUUGCAGACCUCUGGAGCCCGCCAGAGAGGGGGCCGGUGCCCCUCUGUCCUGGGUCCCCAGCGUUCUGCAGGCAGAACAACUGCCAGGGCGAGCCCGUGGGGCAGACGUCACUACCCCGUCAGGCUGGCUUUGUCACUGUCUCUCGUGCUUUUUAGGGGUGUUUCUGUUGAAAGGGUUCUGGUCUCGGUUCAGAGAGAAUGUUCAGGGGCCUGCGUGGCGAAGUCCGUGACUACUGGGUGAGGCGGGCAGGGGCGCCAGCCAGCCUUGGAGCCGCCGCUGUCCGCCUGUGGCAGCAGCGCCCAGCGCAUCCCGAUCCAAGGGGGCAGAGUCACGUGGGGACGUUAAAGACAUGGUGACUCAUUUCCCACCAUUAGUCACUGGAACCCCGGCUGCCCCCUCGCCCCUCAGUGGAGGUUCGGGACAUCUGCGGACCAGGGCUUAGGAGGGCCGUCAUCGCUAGGGGUGACGUGGGAUCAGGAGUGUCUUUGAAAAUGAGUGUGAGAGUAUUGGCUUCUUUUUUGAAGUACUUUUCGUCUGACCUAAGUCCAGGCCUUUAUCCCGCGGUGGGUGUGGGUGUACAAGGCGCUAGUCGGUGACCGCUUGCUGUCCGGUCCGGCACCGAGCGACCUUGAGAGGAUGUGUCGGUGCAUUUGAAGGUUUUGCAAAAAUGGAACAAUCCACAGCCAGGCACUUUAUUUUCAUUAGUAAUCCAGCAUUUUCGUUCAGACGAUGCCAUGACCCCGACGCUGGGCAUUCACAUUUAACACGCCGGCCACAUCUGCCAGCGGCAUUCUGAGUUGGGUGGGGAAGGAGGCAGGUUGAUGAAGUGGUCAACCGGGGGUCUUGCCGUGGUGGCGAUGGCAGGAAGGCUUUUUUGGAGCGGCACCAAGCUGGACUCGGCGGCCACUGUCCCUCAGUUCUCCAGAUGCUAUUUUUACAGGUUCUACCAAGUGCCUGUCAAUUACCCCGGCUGUAAUUGAGAGAGAGAGGAGUGUGCGGGGGAGUGCAGCGAGCCGGGCAAGCGGCAGCGCAGUGCAAUUAGAGGCAGGGCGAGAGGCCCCGGUUUCUCUCCACUUAACUGGACUUGAACUCCCCAGCGAGCGCAGAGGCUGGGGAGUAAUUCCAUUGCGGAUGAUGGGCAGCUCUGUCUUACUGUCGCUGUUGGGUGGGAGCUAGCUGGCACAGCAAGUUAAGAGAACGGAAAGCAAGCUUGGCGGUCGCAGUGUGAUCAGAUACCACUGACCAGAUGCCUUGGGGCUGCCUGAGUGUUUAGCAUCCGCCAAAUAACUCGGCGUCAGCGCGGGCUGGGGAGAGCCCUCCUGCCUCGGUGGUCAUGUGUCUUAGCCUUUGUGUCUCUCUCUGGCGUCUCCGGUCUCUGUCCCCGUCCUGUGCACCAUGUGUCCCUGAGGGGAGUCACACCUGUGUCUGAGUCUGCUGUAAGGUGUUCAGUCUACCUCAAGGGGUCCUCAUGGUCAGCUCUGUCCCACAGCAGUCCUUCCACUCGCCACACACACUGGAAUGUCUACGUGCCCCUGGCCCUGCCUUCCCCGUCGGCAACCUCCCGACCCCCUCUCCCCGCAGUCACCACAGACUCCUAGUGCAAAUUGGAUGCUGCUUUAAAUGUGAAAACAAUUGUUCAAAAGCUAUAAAACCUGAAUGAAAGCUAAAGCUGAAUUUAUAAGCCUUGUUGCAUAUGAGCCAAAAGUGCAAAAAGCUCUAUAUAAUGAACUAACCUGCCACUCGUAUAAAUAUAAAUAUAUAUAAAUAUAUUAAAAUCAGACUGUUCUACAAAUUGUGUAUUUGUAUUUUUGUGUACGUACAAUUUUCUGCUAAGCAGAAGGAGGAUGUAGUAUAGGAUGCUGUGAGAAGAGAUUUGGUUUAAUCCUAUUUCUUUGUUACUUAUUUUUGUUAACAUCAGAUGCCUGUCUUCGUCUUACGUGUGGAUGACACUGUUGGGACAGCUGCAGUAUCUCUCUUCCUUCGGUCCAGAGUCCGUUAACUAAUGAAAUCUGGGGUUUAGAGAGUUCUUCAGGCCCCCAAACUCGGAUAAGUGGGCAGAGAGGGCAGGGCCUCUGGGAAGCAAAAUCCCGCUUCUAGAAAUCAGCUUCCAAGACAAAAGACUGUCAGAUCUGCCCCCACCACAGACUGCCCAGGCUCACUGGGGGGGCGUGGCGGGCUCCCCCUGGCCUCUGUGCCAGUGCUCUGGCCACCCAUGGCUCCCUGUCCCUCUGUGUAGCCGCUGCCUUUUUCAGAUCAAGUUACCAAAAUGCCUCCCCUCUGCCUGGCCGCCGGCCCUUCCCACUGGGACCUCCAGCCCAGUCCCCUGGAGCAUCUCAGAACCCACCUUCCCGGUGCUAACACACAGAGGGGGCAGUGGCUGCCGGGGCGGCCAGGCUGGCAGACCGGCUCUGUGUGCGCGUCCGUCCGUCUGGGGUAGGCGGCCCUUCCUCAAGGGCGGUGCCCAGCGGCCAGCCUGGCCCCGCUGCCCACCCACCUCUCAGCCCCACCGUGGUCCCCUGACUCGAACCUUCCCUAGGGAGAGCGAUACUGCACCUUCCCCCAUGGGACUCAUAUUUAUGACAGUGUGUAAUGACUGUAGCAAAAGCCCUUGUUUCUAGAUGUAAAUGGUCAAAGGAACAAGUGCUCUAUCGUAUUGAUUAAAAUAGUUCCAAUGAGUCCUGUAUCAUUGUAUCUCCUAUUCUGGAUUAGUGCCUUUUGGACAGUAGACUGUUCUGUAAUUAAAAUGUAGUAUAUACUGCUUUUUUGUACAGUUUUGUUUUAAUAAAACUUUUUUUUAAUUUGUGUUUAUUUUAGUAUUGUACCUAUUAGAGAAUAAAAUGUAUAACCGAA
Molecule: long non-coding RNA, 4386 nt
Organism: Phyllostomus discolor (pale spear-nosed bat)
Lineage: Eukaryota; Metazoa; Chordata; Mammalia; Chiroptera; Phyllostomidae
Exons: 2
Source: RefSeq, a predicted model, not a curated record